Molecule: ribosomal RNA, 253 nt
Filed under: uncultured bacterium
Lineage: Bacteria
Description: partial 16S ribosomal RNA
Rfam family: Bacterial small subunit ribosomal RNA
Source: RNAcentral
UACGUAGGGGGCAAGCGUUGUCCGGAUUUAUUGGGCGUAAAGAGCUCGUAGGCGGUCUGUCGCGUCUGCCGUGAAAACCCGAGGCUUAACCUCGGGCUGGCGGUGGAUACGGGCAGACUAGAGGUAGGUAGGGGAGAAUGGAAUUCCCGGUGUAGCGGUGAAAUGCGCAGAUAUCGGGAGGAACACCAGUGGCGAAGGCGGAACUCUGGGCCGGAACUGACGCUGAGGAGCGAAAGCGUGGGGAGCGAACAGG